RNAcentral lists this ribosomal RNA (274 nucleotides) under uncultured bacterium. Its description in RNAcentral is "partial 16S ribosomal RNA". It matches the Rfam family "Bacterial small subunit ribosomal RNA", at positions 523 to 796 of the family's 1533-position model. The record is from RNAcentral.
AUACGGAGGGUGCAAGCGUUAUCCGGAUUUAUUGGGUUUAAAGGGUGCGCAGGCGGCGAUGUAAGUCAGUGGUGAAAGGCUGCCGCUUAACGGUAGGACUGCCAUUGAUACUGCAUUGCUUGAGUAUGGUUGAGGUAAGCGGAAUGUGUGGUGUAGCGGUGAAAUGCAUAGAUAUCACACAGAACACCGAUUGCGAAGGCAGCUUACUAAGCCAUUACUGACGCUGAGGCACGAAAGCGUGGGUAGCGAACAGGAUUAGAAACCCUAGUAGUCC